CAGUCGCCGCGGGAAUACGGAGGGUGCAAGCGUUAAUCGGAAUUACUGGGCGUAAAGCGCACGCAGGCGGUCUGUCAAGUCAGAUGUGAAAUCCCCGGGCUUAACCUGGGAACUGCAUUUGAAACUGGCAGGCUAGAGUCUUGUAGAGGGGGGUAGAAUUCCAGGUGUAGCGGUGAAAUGCGUAGAGAUCUGGAGGAAUACCGGUGGCGAAGGCGGCCCCCUGGACAAAGACUGACGCUCAGGUGCGAAAGCGUGGGGAGCAAACAGGAUUAGAGACCCCAGUAGUCCCUGUCUCUUAUAA
This 301-nucleotide ribosomal RNA is filed under the name uncultured bacterium. Its description in RNAcentral is "partial 16S ribosomal RNA". It matches the Rfam family "Bacterial small subunit ribosomal RNA", at positions 509 to 809 of the family's 1533-position model. The record is from RNAcentral.